Molecule: long non-coding RNA, 8793 nt
Filed under: Sorghum bicolor (sorghum)
Lineage: Eukaryota; Viridiplantae; Streptophyta; Magnoliopsida; Poales; Poaceae
Description: long non-coding RNA (SBIC_LNC017043)
Source: RNAcentral
CCUAAAAACCACCGCAUAACCCUCUUCAGGCGCAGGUACCGUCUGACCCGCAGGAGGAGCCUUCGCUCGACCUUCCUUAAAAAACCUAGCCUCGACCAUAUCGGCAAUAUCCUCCUCCCUCAUAGUAGACUCACCAAAUUCAAAGGUAAUCGCCGCCAUCUCCUCAAACUCCUUCGCACUAAUCAAGUCACCAACAGAAGCUUCGACGUCAGAUAACGUCUCCUCCAGAUCUUUAGCCGCAGCCACCUCAAGCAUCCAGUCUUCAAACCUCCGCAACCAACCACCAGACCUCACGCUAAGAAAAUUACGCAAAGGACCAGAAAAAUCUGACCUUAAAGGGCGCGGCGAAGGAAAAUGAGCCACCUUAUAUCCUCCGCAAACACUUGAGAGCUAUACGCAACUAAAGCAAAUGCGAGUUGGCGAAGGAAGGAACGCAAACAGCAGGCAGCAAGGGUGAGACCCAAGAGCCUCCCCCAUGCCCCUUUUAUAGGGGGGGUGCCUGCGGCAACGUGACCGUUGCGAUUCCCCGCGCCCAACGGCUAUAAGCGGAGGAAUCGGCCUGACCGUUGCGCUUCGUCAAUGCCAACGGCUAACUCCAACGGCUAUAAUAUCCUGCGCAUCCUAACACGCGAAGGAUAUCAGACUAUCAGAACAACAAUGAUCGUAGGAUCCUGGCAAAGCAAAAUUACAAAAAAAAAAAUAAGUAAAACAAAAAUUUUUCCAAUUACGCUAACAAACACAUCCUGCGCACCAGGGGGGAAGGCAGCAACCAUGCCCGCAGCCUCCGCAGCGUGACAUGUUUUUGAGCACAUGGACCGCAGGAGUGCCAUUAGCCCAAAAAGGGGGGAACUGUUGGGGGAUGGCUGCAUCCUUCCCCCUGGUAACGUCUAAGGAUGCCCUUCACCCGAAGAACCUCCGAUCUCUAGGGCGUCGGAGGAUAUCCUCCGCCCAGAGAACCUCCGUGGGGGAGCAUGCGGAGGAUCCUGGAAAAAGGCUAACGUUGAUGACUCGUCUUGUCGUACUAAGUGUGUGCAGGAACAAACAAUCGGCGAAGGCCCUCAAGCGGAGAAAGGUGGAACCUCCGAUCCUCCCAAGUCCGAGGAUGGCUGAGGACGCGGCGGAGGUAAGAAACCUCCGACGCGCCCAGCCUGGGGGGACCUCCGAUGAAGAACCGUCGAAGGAUCGGCAACCGAGCGAGCCGAGGAACCUCCGGGACAGCCGAGCUGAGGGACCCCGACGCGCCUGAGCCAAGGAACCUCCGGCACCUGAAGUGCCGAAGGAUACGCGACCGGGCGGAGGAUCCAAGCCUCCGACAGGCUGAGACCCUAGACAGGGGACACGUGCAGGGUUUGUAAUGCGAAAUUACACGAGUGACUUGGAGUCGGUAGACUGUAAUUGGAGAAUAUGCUAGGAUAUUCCCCCACCGUCACGGGGCGUUUUUGUAAAUGUCACUAGGUCGGUUUCUGAGCCCUAUAUAAAGGGUGAUGCCGUUAUUAAUAAAGAGAGAGAGAGCAUUCACUGUAUUCACCGACCGUUGAGCUUACUGUCUGUCAGCGCUCGAACUUCUCACGGCUCCGAGUGAGAAGGUUCUCGAUCCACCGUAUUGCUGGGGAGUGCAGAGAGCAUUUUCCCAACAGUUUCUUGUUUCGGUAAAAGGUCAGGCCUAAGCGUUUACAACAGAUGGCUUGAGAAGUGUCUUGUGUAUCAAUGUCCCAUCUAUUGUGGAGACCAUAAGAAGUGUCUUCGCUAGGUUUACAUCAUCAUUGUUCUCCUAAGCAUAUUGAAAGUAUCGACAUGAGCUAGCACCAAAUUCUUGUUUAUAUCAUUAUGCUAACAUCGAAAUAAGCUCACCUUGUAUUCAAUGGUUGUAUCCUUAGCUGGUGUUGGUAAUAUUAACUUGACAUUUGUUUUAGCUAGACACUUAUUUAGGCCUUGUUUAGUUCACCCUGAAAACCAAAAAGUUUUCAAGAUUCUCCGUCACAUCGAAUCUCGUGGCACAUGCAUGAAACAUUAAAUAUAAAUGAAAACAAAAACUAAUUACACAGUUUAGCUGUAAAUCACGAGAUAAAUUUUUUGAUCCUAGUUAGUCCAUGAUUGAAUAAUAUUUGUCAGAAACAACGAAAGUGCUACAGUACCGAAAACUUCACACUUUUCGUAACUAAACAAGGCCUUACUACCUACAUUUUUUAGUAUUGUACUCUCUCGAAUUCCUAGAGUUGUCCUAAGUCAAACUUUUCAAACUUUGACCAAAUUUCUAGAAAAAAGUACUAAGAUUUUUUUUGGAUGGAGGGAUCCCUAGUAAUAUUGCCAGAAAUGCUUGUUGGCCCUACCUAUCUCAUUAUUUCAUAUGACUAGAAUGAAUAUAAAGAUAUGAAUGAAAAGUAACUCGCUAGCACACAGAUAAUUAUACCUGUUGUAGCAUUUUAUCGGGAGUAAUACCUGUUGUAGUUACAUUCUACCAAAGGGAGGAGCUAUGGGAUUGGCAAGAGGUAAAUUAAUCAAAGUAUAUACUUAUGAUAAAAAUCAAUCACAUAGGACAUGUCUUAACAGGGGUAACCUAUAUAGACACAUACGAAGUAACUUAUUCUGUAGCCACCUUGAUUUAUGAUAAUUACUAUAUGUUAAUUUAUGAGAUUAUAUUAACACCUUACUAAGUGGUUGACGUUACGGUAAAUAUGUGUUAUAGAUAUUAUCGCAAAUUAGUAUAUAAAAUUAUCAUAAAUAAAAGUAGCUACAAAACAACUUAUUUUGUAGCUAGCUACUGAAUAUAUUGGCCAGUUAUUUGGACAUAGAAUAUUUUGGUCGAUCAGCGAAGGCAUCGCAUCGUAGCAACAUAUCGAAGUCGGCUUGCCUGAAAUAUCACGUAAAGCAACAAAGAAAAUAGAAGUUACAUGUAAGCAAGCAAACGAUCGUUGGUUUCUUGUUUCGGUAAAAGGACAGGCCUAAGCGUUUACAACAGAUGGCUUGAGACGUACUUAUAAGGCACAUAGAAGAAGAAAAGAGAAGUCACAAAGAUGUAGGAUCAGGGCAAAACAAAGAUGCAGGAUCAGGGCAAAGUAAAUUCAUCUACGACGCUAAGAGUCCAAAAAAGAAUUGCUAAUUUAAUCUUGCAUACAAGUUUAUUUGUUUGAAGGAGAAAUCAGGACACAUGACUGUGACGUGUUCUUUUGCUAUUCUGUGAUCGAAACAAAACUUUGUAUCACCUCGUACAUAUGCUAUGACACUUACAUUUGGCUUAGCGUCAUGUUUUACGGAAAUAUGGGAUAUACCAAAAUUUGAUAUGUUAAUAUAUGACCUUGUUUAGAUCCAAGGUUUUUUUUAUUUAGACACUGUAACAUUUUUGUUUGUAUUUGAUAAUUAUUGUCUACUCAUGGACUAACUAGCCUCAAAUCAUUCAACUCGCAAAUUAUAGAUAAACUGUGAAAUUAGUUAUUUUUUAUCUAUAUUUAUGCUCCAUGUGUGUGCCGUAAAAUUCGAUGUGAUGGAGAAUCUUGAAAAGUUUUUGGUUUUUGAUGCAACUAAACGAGGCCUUAGCCAUUGGCUGUUAUAUAUAUUGCUAAUAUAUUUUGGCCGGUUAUUGGAUAUAGAAUAUUCGGGUGGAUCGGCCCAUGCGUACCACAACAACGUGUUGAAGUCGGCUUGACUGAAAUAUCACGUAAAGCAAACAAAGAAAAUAUAGGUCAUGUAAACAAGGAAGAUACAAUUGUUGGUUUCGUGUUUCGGUAAAAGGAGAAGCCCAAGCGUAUAGUGGCUUGAGACAAUACUUAUAUGGCAUAUAGAAGGAGAAUGGAGAAGUCACAAGGAUGCAGGAUCAGGGCAAAGUAAAUUCGUCUACGACGCAAGGGGUCACUACUCCAGAUCAGCACAUCAUUGAUGGUUCCAAACCCCCCCGCUGCUAGAGUUUUAACUGGCAGCCGGCACUGAUGUGGGGUUCUCAUCACUGCAGGAUACAAGAACCGCCAGUGAUAAACUGCAAGACUGUCAGUUCAUAGCUCAACCUGGCAUUGCCAUUUGAGACAACACUACCAAUUUGUGCCUAAGCCGACAGUGAAGCUUCAUUCAACACUACCGGCUUGUGCCAUGAGCUAGCUGACAGUGAUGCUCAAGCUAACACUAUCAGCUUGUGGCUCUAGCCGACAGUAAUGCUCAAGACAACACUACUGGCUCGUAGCUCUAGCCGACGGUGAUGCUCAAGACAACACUGCUGGCUCGUAGCUCCAACCGACAGUGAUGCUCAGACCAUCACUACCGGUUUGACGCUCGACCUAGCAGUGCUGGCUUGUGGCUCGAGCCAAUAGUGAUGCUCACGACAACAAUGCCGGUAAUGAUUGUUUCAGCAAUAUUGUCGGCCAGUAGGUCAAGCCGGCAGUAUUGUUGAAGACAUCACUGGCAGCUUGGAUAUAGCCGACAGUGAUCUUUUUUUUUGCAUUUUAUUGCUUUAUAUAAUUUUUUUUAUUUUCUGUGAAAUCAGGUUUCGCUUUAUAUUCAUUACAUAGAUGAUAGGUCCAUCAACAUUAAACAUUACAAAUAUUACAAUUACAAUUCAAAUGUACUUAUGAAAGCGGAGCCUCGCAAGAAUCCUGCGCAGGUCCUCCGCUAGAGACCUGCGCAGGAUAAAAGCGUAAAACAGACAUUUAUCCAAAAACAACCCGAUAUAUUACAUUACCAGCAAAAUAUUUACAGUUGAAGUCAAGACCUUCGACUUACAAAAAAAAAAGCGUCGCAUGCGCAGCAGACGCAAAAAAAACUGAAAAACCUACAAACUAUAUAACCUCACACCUGAGGCGGCGGAGGAGCAGGAGCUUCGGGUUGCUCUGAGGCCUUGGCAACAGAUUCCUCAGGAGCUUUAGCACUUGCGUCACGAACCUCCGCCUCAGCCUGAGUCGAAGGACGCGCUUCGCUAGCAGGACGCGAAGGACCGGGCUUAUCAACCUUAGCCGCCCUCUUGGCAUUCUCCUGCAAAUCAACAAGCUUAAAAAACAUUGCAAAGAAGCCUAAACCCUAAACAUAAUACAAAAAGAAUACCUCAGCGCGACGAGCCUCCGCCAUCUUCUUCGCCUCAGCCCGCCCAAACCUAAUCCAGAACGAACUAAUGAAGUUCCGGACAGACUUGCGCAGGCUCGAGGUGCCCUCGCCAACAUCCUCCGCCGACGCGAACUCUUCCUUAGCAACUCCCUCCGCAUGGGAACAACCUCCGCGGCGCAGCAGCCUGGCGAAGGAGCUAACCGCAGCCAAAGCCCCAAAAUCAACAGCUCCACCAACAAAGUCAGGGAGCAUGCGGAUAUGGGACUUCAACCAUGCAAGGCUAGCACAAACGUCUCCGCCAGGCGGAGGAGCAGAGGUGCUACCUCCGAACUGUGCCAGCGAGCUGGUAUAGAGCCCCACGACAUCCGCAGCCUCCGCCUCCGCCUUCUGCAUACGAGUCUGCAUCGCAGCCGCAGACUCGCGCUCAGCGUCAAGCUCCUUGCGGAGGCGGUCAGCAAUGUCCUCCGCCUUCUCAGCUCGCUGCAAGGCCAAGUCCCUGGCACUCUCCGCUUCAGUGGCACUCGUGCGGAGGACAGCAACCGAAGCCUCGGCAUCUUCCUUCUCUCUCUUCAAAACCUCCGACCCAGCCUUGUAAUCAUCCCUCUCCUUAGUCAGAGACUCAAUUUCCUGUCGGGCAGAAGAAAGCUCCUUAACAUCCUCCGACAGGCGAGCCUUCUCGGCCUCUAAAUUUUCGUUUUCCUUCUUAAGAGCACCAAUAGCCUCGUCCCGGCAAAUAAUCUCCCGGGAGCAGUGCUCCUCCAAGGCUGCAGCCAUGUGGUGACUCUGCAAAACGCAAAAAAUCAAACCUUCGAACAAAAAACGCGAAGGAAAAACACACAAUUGGAAAACUUACAAGGCUAUGGUGCUCAAAUUGCACGCGAAGGAAGGCGUCAAAGUCCAUAUGACGGAGCUUCUGACGGAGACGAUCUAGAUAGCAAAAGAGGUAAGGAAAAAUAUAAGUAAAUUAAAGAAAAAUCAUCAACAACGGAGGCCAGAAACGAACCUCCGACCAAAGAAUGAACCUCGCGCAGUGCAUCGGUCCAACCUGUGAUCGAAGGAUCAGAAGCACCUGCGCAAAAAGAAUAGUAAAUCAACACAAACCAAAAUAAACCAAAUCAUUAAAACAAAAGCAAUAUCAUCUAACCAGGACCCAUAACAUUAGCAGGCGAAGGCCUACUAGCCAGCGCAGACGGCGCAGGAACCCUAGGCGGAGGAACUUCAAGACCUUCCCGUGCUAUGCUAGCACCCUUAGCCAGUUCCUCCGCAGUGGCCAACCCUGCGACCACAUCCUCUAAAAAACAUAAAAUGAUAUAAGACCGCGAUAACAGAAACAAGCAUAAAAAUCAAAAAUAACAAUGAGGAAACAAACCUAUGUACAGCGAAUUUAUGCCAUCUUCGGCCGGGCGCGGGGAAGCCUCCGCCCUCUUUAUCCUCCGAACAGAGGCGGACUCUGCUUCAUCACUGGACGACUCCUGCAUAUCCUUUGGCAGAAAUCCACCACCAGCAGAUACCUCCCGCGCAGGGCUCGCCUCCCGUGCAGAACUCGCUCUAGGAGCCUCCGCGUCGGAGGAAUCCUCACCAAGAAGCGACGCAAAAGGCGCCCGCACAGACGAGGCCGCACGGGAAGCUUGAACCUCGGGACCUCCGCCAUCAGCAAUGGCCUCCGCAGGAGCAGAAGCCACCGAGUUCGACUCGGCAGCAGAAGAUCGCGCGGAGGAAGACUCCACAGGAUUCUCUAGCACAACCUCCGCCUUGCGCUUCUUCGCAAGCUGCUUAACAGCACCACCCCCUUCCUCUUCCUAGCCUCCGCCGCAGCAACGGCCUUGGAGGAAUCCUUCUUCUUCUCCAAUCCCAACAAAACAUCCGGAGGAAUAACAUAAUCCUCAUACUCAAUCCCCAAUUCCUCAAACACUCGGUUGAAGCGAGGCAUCGUACCAAGCGCAGACCUCCGCUGGAGAUACUCCUUCUCCGAGAUCUUCCCGACGAUCCUCCGAGCAGAAACCUCCACGCGGUCAAGGAAGGACUCUUUUGUCUCAUCCUCAGGCAAUCCCGCUCCAAACCGGGGAAACAGCAACCCCUCCGGAGGGCCAAAGACCGGCACUUGCACCAUCUCAAUGGUGAAUUCGUCAGUCCUGCGGCCAAGGGGCCAGUAAUCAGCUGCGACCAUCUCCUCAACUAAAUCCCGACCUCCGGAGUAUCGACAGGCUACAGCAAAGGCCUUGUCGCAGGCCAGUCGCGCCUCCAGCUGCUCCUCCGACACUGGAUUCGAAGGAUCAACCUUGUGAAUAGGCCUAAGCAACUUCAUCUCAGAGGCAUAAGGAUAAACCUUAUCAACACUGCCGUCCUCCAGAGUCCUCGACGCGGCGGGGGUCUUCACGUAGAACCAGGCCCUCAUCCAAUCCUUCUCCCACUUGCCCUUCUGGCAGUAGGAAAUCUCGCACCUAGACCCAGGCAUUGUGCGGCGCGGCAUGAACGCGCAGCUUCCAAACUGCGCUAUAUGCUCAACUCCAUCGGCACCCUUCACCUUUUUUGGCUGGCGCUGGAGUUCAAAAUACGAACAGAAAGUAUCUACGUGAGGCACAGCUCCGUAUGAUUCACACGCCCAGGCAAAUUUGCUAAGGGUCAGUAUCCCAUUGGGACUGAAAUGCUGUAGCUCCACAUUGAAACUCUCCAUCACUUCGCGAAGGAAAUGAUACGGAGGCAUCCGAAGUCCGCAGGUGAAGAAAUCCCUAAAAACCACCGCAUAACCCUCUUCAGGCGCAGGUACCGUCUGACCCGCAGGAGGAGCCUUCGCUCGACCUUCCUUAAAAAACCUAGCCUCGACCAUAUCGGCAAUAUCCUCCUCCCUCACAGUAGACUCACCAAAUUCAAAGGUAAUCGCCGCCAUCUCCUCAAACUCCUUCGCACUAAUCAAGUCACCAACAGAAGCUUCGACGUCAGAUAACGUCUCCUCCAGAUCUUUAGCCGCAGCCACCUCAAGCAUCCAGUCUUCAAACCUCCGCAACCAACCACCAGACCUCACGCUAAGAAAAUUACGCAAAGGACCAGAAAAAUCUGACCUUAAAGGGCGCGGCGAAGGAAAAUGAGCCACCUUAUAUCCUCCGCAAACACUUGAGAGCUAUACGCAACUAAAGCAAAUGCGAGUUGGCGAAGGAAGGAACGCAAACAGCAGGCAGCAAGGGUGAGACCCAAGAGCCUCCCCCAUGCCCCUUUUAUAGGGGGGGGUGCCUGCGGCAACGUGACCGUUGCGAUUCCCCGCGCCCAACGGCUAUAAGCGGAGGAAUCGGCCUGACCGUUGCGCUUCGUCAAUGCCAACGGCUAACUCCAACGGCUAUAAUAUCCUGCGCAUCCUAACACGCGAAGGAUAUCAGACUAUCAGAACAACAAUGAUCGUAGGAUCCUGGCAAAGCAAAAUUACAAAAAAAAAUAAGUAAAACAAAAAUUUUUCCAAUUACGCUAACAAACACAUCCUGCGCACCAGGGGGGAAGGCAGCAACCAUGCCCGCAGCCUCCGCAGCGUGACAUGUUUUUGAGCACAUGGACCGCAGGAGUGCCAUUAGCCCAAAAAGGGGGAAACUGUUGGGGGAUGGCUGCAUCCUUCCCCCUGGUAACGUCUAAGGAUGCCCUUCACCCGAAGAACCUCCGAUCUCUAGGGCGUCGGAGGAUAUCCUCCGCCCAGAGAACCUCCGUGGGGGAGCAUGCGGAGGAUCCUGGAAAAAGGCUAACGUUGAUGACUCGUCUUGUCGUACUAAGUGUGUGCAGGAACAA